Cricetulus griseus (Chinese hamster) is the source of this 896-nucleotide non-coding RNA. Lineage: Eukaryota; Metazoa; Chordata; Mammalia; Rodentia; Cricetidae. The record is from RefSeq and is a predicted model, not a curated record.
GCCGUGGACCUAAGCAAUGUGGUCUGCAAACCAGAGUCUGAGAAGUGUUGUAUUUUGCCGGGUAAGGUAAAAAGAACUGUACACCGGAGGGAGCUUAUAAGACAUCAACGACGGAAUGUUCAGGCAACAAAAGAAGACAGGACAAGACAAGACAAAAUGAAUCACAGGCUCCAGGCUCAGGGAGAGACCCUUCUUCGUGGGAAGAAGACAGAGGACAGAGGGAGAUACCUGGUGACGUCCCUUAACAGAGCUGCAAAAUAUGGACUGUAGACCACAGAGGAGCUGGAAGAGUUCUGAGAGGUGAAGCACUGAGGAGAAAGGGUUGUAGUAGAUUGUGUCCCCCACCCCUAGGGUGUUUGCAAUUUGAGGGAGACCUUGGCAGGCAGCCAUGCUCACUGCUAUACCACCAAUGUGGCAUCUUGGGGACACCUCAGGAAUAUCAUCUGGCUGCUUUUUUCAUCCAUUACCUGGAGAACAGAGAGGAGCUGUAGGGGUGCUGGCAAAAGAGAGGCAUGUCCAGCUUGAUGCCCACAUGGCUUCGUGUGCUGUGGGUCAUUUUUGACUAUGAUAGGGUUCUUAGUGGAAUUCUGGUGUGGGUGGGACCAUGAAGGGUUAACUUUUUGUAAAACUAUGGCACCUUUUCAGUCCACACUCUCUGGGUUUGAGGUCCUGUAUCCUUUGUCAGUUUGUUCUCUUAUCCUUAGGACUUCCUGGGGUCCUCCUAUUCACCCCUCCAAAAAUUACUGUCAGCAGUGUAAGAGAGGAGUGCUUCAGGAAAGAGCAAUCGGCCUGGAACAGGCUUGGGUGCCACAUUGCCAUCUGGGACCUGCUUCUUACAGGUGAUUGUUGAAUGUAUGGAAACUCCUUAGCCUCUUGUUUUAGUUUAAGAAUAAAAG